UACAGAGGUGGCAAGCGUUGUUCGGAAUUACUGGGCGUAAAGGGCGCGUAGGCGGUCUUCUAAGUCUUGUGUGAAAUCCCUCGGCUCAACUGAGGAACUGCACGGGAUACUGGAAGACUUGAGUUCGGGAGAGGGAAGCGGAAUUCCGGGUGUAGCGGUGAAAUGCGUAGAUAUCUGGAGGAACACCGGUGGCGAAGGCGGCAUCCUGGACCGACACUGACACUGAGGAGCGAAAGCCAGGGGAGCAAACGGG
RNAcentral lists this ribosomal RNA (253 nucleotides) under uncultured bacterium. RNAcentral describes it as "partial 16S ribosomal RNA". It matches the Rfam family "Bacterial small subunit ribosomal RNA", at positions 524 to 776 of the family's 1533-position model. The record is from RNAcentral.